AUACGGAGGGUGCAAGCGUUAUCCGGAUUCAUUGGGUUUGAAGGGUACGUAGGCGGAUAGAUAAGUUAGUGGUGAAAUCCCGAAGCUCAACUUCGGAACUGCCAUUAAAACUGUCUAUCUUGAAUUUGGUUGAAGUGGGCGGAAUAUGACAUGUAGCGGUGAAAUGCAUAGAUAUGUCAUGGAACACCGAUAGUGAAGACAGCUCACUAAGCCAAUAUUGACGCUGAGGUACGAAAGCAUGGGUAGCGAACAGGAUUAGAUACCCUGGUAGUCC
Molecule: ribosomal RNA, 274 nt
Filed under: uncultured bacterium
Lineage: Bacteria
Description: partial 16S ribosomal RNA
Rfam family: Bacterial small subunit ribosomal RNA
Source: RNAcentral